This 645-nucleotide small RNA is filed under the name Vigna angularis var. angularis. Its description in RNAcentral is "Non-protein coding transcript". Lineage: Eukaryota; Viridiplantae; Streptophyta; Magnoliopsida; Fabales; Fabaceae. The record is from RNAcentral.
AUGCUCCUUCUUUCAACCCGGAGACGAUAAAGGAGUUGAUUUCGAAGGGGAUUGAAGCUGAGCAUUUGGGGAAGCAAGCUGCAGCUAUUUCAGCUGGGGGUUCGGAUUUGGCCGAGAUAGAGUUGAUGAUUGUGAAGGUGAGAGAGGAAAUUGAUGAUCUCUUUGGGGGAAAGGGAAAGGAGAGCAACGAAAGUGGAGGGUGUUGUUGCAAAGAAGCGGAGUGUGGUGGGAUGAAGGACUUCACAACGGAUUUGAGGACUGAAUUCAAAGGUUUGGAUGAUGUUUAUGUGUGGAAUGCGCUCUGUGGCGGAUGGGGUGGUGUGAGGCCAGGAACUACACAUCUUGAUUCGAAAAUAAUACCAUGCAAACUCUCUCCUGGUCUUGUUGGGACCAUGAAGGAUCUUGCAGUGGAUAAAAUAGUGGAAGGUUCCAUAGGGCUUGUUCAUCCUCAUCAAGCUAAUGACCUCUACGAUUCCAUGCACUCUUAUCUUGCCCAAGCCGGUGUUACUGGAGUCAAAAUUGACGUCAUUCACAGUCUUGAAUACGUAUGCGAGGAAUAUGGAGGCAGAGUGGAGAUUGCCAAGGCUUAUUACGAUGGGUUGACAAACUCCAUUAUCAAGAUAUUCAAUGGAAGUGCAAUCAUCG